UGGGGAAUCUUCCGCAAUGGACGCAAGUCUGACGGAGCAACGCCGCGUGAGUGAAGAAGGUUUUCGGAUCGUAAAACUCUGUCUUUUGGGGCGAACGUGAGUAUGGUGAACAAUCAUAGUCAGUGACGGUACCAAAGGAGGAAGCCACGGCUAACUACGUGCCAGCAGCCGCGGUAAUACGUAGGUGGCAAGCGUUGUCCGGAAUUAUUGGGCGUAAAGAGCGCGUAGGCGGGAUAGUCAGUCUGUUGUAAAAGUGCGGGGCUCAACCCCGUGAUCGCAAUGGAAACAGCUAUUCUUGAGUGCAGGAGAGGAAAGUGGAAUUCCCAGUGCAGCGGUGAAAUGCGUAGAUAUUGGGAGGAACACCAGUGGCGAAGGCGACUUUCUGGACUGUGUCUGACGCUGAGGCGCGAAAGCCAGGGGGAGCGAACGGGAUUAGAUACCCCCGGUAGUCCUGGCCGUAAACGAUGGGUACUAGGUGUGGGAGGUAUCGACCCCCUUUCCGUGCCGGAGUUAACGCAAUAAGUACCCCGCCUGGGGGAGUACGGUCGCAAGACUGAAACUCAAAGGAAUUGACGGGGGUCAUAGCUG
This 588-nucleotide ribosomal RNA is filed under the name uncultured bacterium. RNAcentral describes it as "partial 16S ribosomal RNA". It matches the Rfam family "Bacterial small subunit ribosomal RNA", at positions 355 to 928 of the family's 1533-position model. The record is from RNAcentral.